GCGCUCGUAGCUCAGUGGAUAGAGCAAUCGCCUUCGGAGCGAUCGGUCGGGCGUUCAAAUCGCUCCGGGCGCA
Molecule: transfer RNA, 73 nt
Filed under: Armatimonadota bacterium
Lineage: Bacteria; Bacillati; Armatimonadota
Description: tRNA-Arg
Rfam family: tRNA
About the family: Transfer RNA (tRNA) molecules are approximately 80 nucleotides in length.
Source: RNAcentral